Molecule: ribosomal RNA, 292 nt
Filed under: uncultured bacterium
Lineage: Bacteria
Description: partial 16S ribosomal RNA
Rfam family: Bacterial small subunit ribosomal RNA
Source: RNAcentral
GUGCCAGCAGCCGCGGUAAUACGUAGGGGGCAAGCGUUGUCCGGAUUUACUGGGUGUAAAGGGUGCUCAGGUGGUUGCGCAAGUCAGAGGUGAAAUCCUAGAGCUUAACUCUGGAACUGCCUUUGAUACUGUGCGGCUUGUGUACGGAAGAGGCUGAUGGAAUUCCUGGUGUAGCAGUGAAAUGCGUAGAUAUCAGGAAGAACACCAGUGGCGAAGGCGGUCAGCUGGUCCGUUACAGACACUAAAGCACGAAAGCGUGGGGAGCAAACAGGAUUAGAAACCCCGGUAGUCC